Molecule: non-coding RNA, 121 nt
Organism: Acanthosepion pharaonis
Lineage: Eukaryota; Metazoa; Mollusca; Cephalopoda; Sepiida; Sepiidae
Source: the annotation of a GenBank genome assembly
ACACUGGACAGUGGAUCACUCUGCUUGUCUGCUGAUGAAGAGCAUGGCCAGCUGCCAGAACUGAUAUGAAUUGCAGGUCUUGGUGAAUAUUGACACCUUGAAUGCAGAUAGCAGACACUUG